RNAcentral lists this ribosomal RNA (37 nucleotides) under Nectria diminuta. Its description in RNAcentral is "partial 28S ribosomal RNA". The record is from RNAcentral. Lineage: Eukaryota; Fungi; Ascomycota; Sordariomycetes; Hypocreales; Nectriaceae.
UCAGGUAGGACUACCCGCUGAACUUAAGCAUAUCAAU